Molecule: ribosomal RNA, 406 nt
Filed under: uncultured bacterium
Lineage: Bacteria
Description: partial 16S ribosomal RNA
Rfam family: Bacterial small subunit ribosomal RNA
Source: RNAcentral
AUUGAACGCUGGCGGCAGGCCUAACACAUGCAAGUCGAGCGAGCGGCGGACGGGUGAGUAAUGUCUGGGGAACUGCCUGAUGGAGGGGGAUAACUACUGGAAACGGUAGCUAAUACCGCAUACAAUCAGAUGAGCCCAGAUGGGAUUAGCUAGUAGGUGGGGUAACGGCUUACCUAGGCGACGAUCCCUAGCUGGUCUGAGAGGAUGACCAGCAACCCUGGAACUGAGCAACGGCCCAGACUCCUACGGGAGGCAGCAGUGGGGAAUAUUGCACAAUUGGCGCAAGCCUGAUGCAGCCAUGCCGCGUGUAAGAAGAAGGCCUGCGGGUUGUAAAGCACUUUCAGCCGGGAGGCGUUACCCGCAGAAGAAGCACCGGCUAACUCCGUGCCAGCAGCCGCGGUAAUAC